RNAcentral lists this ribosomal RNA (1343 nucleotides) under uncultured bacterium. RNAcentral's name for it is "16S ribosomal RNA". It matches the Rfam family "Bacterial small subunit ribosomal RNA", at positions 28 to 1378 of the family's 1533-position model. The record is from RNAcentral.
GACGAACGCUGGCGGCGUGCUUAACACAUGCAAGUCGAACGGAAAGGCCCUGCUUUUGUGGGGUGCUCGAGUGGCGAACGGGUGAGUAACACGUGAGUAACCUGCCCUUGACUUUGGGAUAACUUCAGGAAACUGGGGCUAAUACCGGAUAGGAGCUCCUGCUGCAUGGUGGGGGUUGGAAAGUUUCGGCGGUUGGGGAUGGACUCGCGGCUUAUCAGCUUGUUGGUGGGGUAGUGGCUUACCAAGGCUUUGACGGGUAGCCGGCCUGAGAGGGUGACCGGCCACAUUGGGACAGAGAUACGGCCCAGACUCCUACGGGAGGCAGCAGUGGGGAAUAUUGCACAAUGGGCGGAAGCCUGAUGCAGCAACGCCGCGUGCGGGAUGACGGCCUUCGGGUUGUAAACCGCUUUCGCCUGUGACGAAGCGUGAGUGACGGUAAUGGGUAAAGAAGCACCGGCUAACUACGUGCCAGCAGCCGCGGUGAUACGUAGGGUGCGAGCGUUGUCCGGAUUUAUUGGGCGUAAAGGGCUCGUAGGUGGUUGAUCGCGUCGGAAGUGUAAUCUUGGGGCUUAACCCUGAGCGUGCUUUCGAUACGGGUUGACUUGAGGAAGGUAGGGGAGAAUGGAAUUCCUGGUGGAGCGGUGGAAUGCGCAGAUAUCAGGAGGAACACCAGUGGCGAAGGCGGUUCUCUGGGCCUUUCCUGACGCUGAGGAGCGAAAGCGUGGGGAGCGAACAGGCUUAGAUACCCUGGUAGUCCACGCUGUAAACGGUGGGUACUAGGUGUGGGGUCCAUUCCACGGGUUCCGUGCCGUAGCUAACGCUUUAAGUACCCCGCCUGGGGAGUACGGCCGCAAGGCUAAAACUCAAAGGAAUUGACGGGGCCCCGCACAAGCGGCGGAGCAUGCGGAUUAAUUCGAUGCAACGCGUAGAACCUUACCUGGGUUUGACAUGGAUCGGGAGUGCUCAGAGAUGGGUGUGCCUCUUUUGGGGUCGGUUCACAGGUGGUGCAUGGCUGUCGUCAGCUCGUGUCGUGAGAUGUUGGGUUAAGUCCCGCAACGAGCGCAACCCUUGUUCACUGUUGCCAGCACGUUAUGGUGGGGACUCAGUGGAGACCGCCGGGGUCAACUCGGAGGAAGGUGGGGAUGACGUCAAGUCAUCAUGCCCCUUAUGUCCAGGGCUUCACGCAUGCUACAAUGGCUGGUACAGAGAGUGGCGAGCCUGUGAGGGUGAGCGAAUCUCGGAAAGCCGGUCUCAGUUCGGAUUGGGGUCUGCAACUCGACCUCAUGAAGUCGGAGUCGCUAGUAAUCGCAGAUCAGCAACGCUGCGGUGAAUACGUUCCCGGG